GUCUUUUGGAUUUUUCUCCUUGAUGUGGGUAUUGGCUGGAGGUUGUUCGUUGGAGAGAAGGAAAGAUGCAUUCUGAUGUGCAGAGGUAUCCACAGGCCUUGAUCAUACUUCAGUUCCCUGUUUUGCUAGAUAGUGUGAAACAGCAUCUCUCUGCUGCAAGCUGACAUCAGUUAGGAGACGUUAGCAGGUGCUGCAAAUCAGAAGGAGGACUUAUUUGGUCUGGCUCUAUGCACGUUGCACUGACAGGGAUGUGAUAGGACCCAACCCAACUGCUUGUCUAAGCUCUGUGAUACUGACAGGAAUGGACCUAGAACUCCUGACUCAAAGUUGAACAUCCAACUGCAGCAACUUAGACUCCAGAAGCCAAAUUAUUGGUAAUAUGCUGUCUCUUGUUGAAAUACUACAGGUGCUAUUUUGACUGGAAUUUGUUGAGUUGCCAGGCUUAGCCCCGAGACUGAUGGUAUCCAGAAACUGGUGCCAACUGCUCACAUCCCACUGGCCUCUCUCCAUGUCUUCAUCCCUCUUGUCCUGGCAACCAAGCACUCUGCUGUUUAAUGCUGAACUUUUCAUAAUUAAACUUGUCAGAAUUUUCUAAUUAAAUAACAACUCAGCAUUGUGAGCCUGUUGAAGGAAGGGACUGUCCGUCUCUGCUUUAUCAUGAUUCAACUUCACCAUAAGCACUUUGUGCACCAUGUUUGGGCUUCCCAACGUAAGGAAGAUAUAAAACUGUUAGAAAACAUCCAAAGGAGGAGGCUGUGAGGACAAGAUGUGUGAGGAGCAGCUGAGGUCCCUGGGUUUGUUCAGCCCAGAACAAAGGAGUCUGUGGAGAGGCCUCAUGGUGGCCUACAGCUCCUUGCGGAGAGCAAAGGGGCAGUGCUGAGCUCUGCUUUCUGAUGACAGUGACAGGAUCUGAAGGAACAACACGGAGCUGCAUGGGAUGGUCAAGUUGGGCAUUAGGAAAAUGUUCUUCACUGAGAGGAUGUUUGGGCGUGGAGUGGGCUCCCUAGAGCAAUGUGCACAACCCUAAGUCCACUGGACUUCAAGAAGUGUGUGGACAACCCUUUCAGAAACAUGAUUUGAAUUUUGGUGGCCUUGUGUGGAGCCAAGAGGUGGACUCAAUGACCAUUGUGGGUCCCUUCCAACUGGACGUAUUCUAUUGUUCUAUGAACUCUGUGGGAAGAAAAUGUUGUGCUAUAGAGUACUUUGUAAGCAAUACUGCAGAAAGCCUCUUAGCUUCAAAUAAUUUCCUUGAUAUGCAGGUAGGCAUUGUAUAUUACUGAGACCCUGUAACUCUGUUGUGGCUAACAGUAACGGACUGUGCAGCUCUUCUGCUUUCCUACUGUUAUGAAGGCCUUCUGAUGUGGGUGGCUCUAGGGGAAGUCUCCGAUGUCAGGUCCAUCAUUAAUCCGGACUGGAGAAUGUUCUUGAAAUUUCACAUAGGAUGGAUUGGGGGCUCUAGAUUUUCUUGAGGUGACCUGGAUGGGUGACAGUUUUGGGACAUAGCCCACAACUGAUCUGUCCAGAGCAUGGCAGCUGCUGCAAGAGCUGCUAUUUCUGUCACUGCACAGGCACAGCACAGCGUAAAUUUCAUUGCAGAACUUCUGAGGUGGCUUGUCCGAAACCUUGACUCUUCCUGAAUAUCAAAUGAAUAGGCACUGGAACCAAAUUAAAUUUUCAGAUAUUGAUUUUUCCAGCCAGCUUGACUAAUUUCUUUCUCUUGAAUGUGGAGAAUUUGCAACUAGUUUACCAUGCUGUUGAAUGUUCUGCCAGUAUGCAAGACUCUGAGCCUUUAAGGUGUUUGGCAUUGCAAGGAAUCAGACCCCAAAUUAAUUGACUAAGAGAAUAAUUUCUUUGUUAUUUAUCAUGAAGCGUGAAUUUGGGUUUCUUUCAAAAAACAUCAAAUCUAAAUUACUUCUAUUUUAAGCAUUUUACAUAACAAAAUGUAAUCUUAGCUUCGCAUUUUCUAUUUCAUUUAUUUCCUUUAUUGUCACGUACUCUAUCAGUAAGGCUACAGUAGGUGAUGUAUUUAAUUAUAGGUAUGUUUAUUUAACAACUUCAAAAUGAUAUGUAGCUGUGUUUACGUGAUAUCAAUCAGUGGGAUAAAUGCACAAGUGUUUCUCUAACUUCUCAAACCAUCAAUAAAACCAAAAGCCCAUUUUUUUCUGGUUGUGGAUCAUAAAAUUUCAACUGCAUGGGUAUUAUAUGAACAAUAUGAAGGUCAUCACCAUUAGCCUGUAUGCAAAAGCCCUCUUCAGCAUGUUUAAACAAAGCUGAUGUCCAUUCAACCCUGUAUAAUACUUGAACACUCCUGCCUUUUACUGCAGCCAAAGCUCUGGUAACUCUCCAAUGUGGCUUGAAAAAGAAAACUGUAUGCCUAACAUCUGAAUUUAAUGGCCUGUUUAUUUUACUCCAGAUUGCAUUCACGUUGUUCAUUGUUGCAAUCUGAGCAACUUGAGCUUCCUUAUGCAGAUGUAGAGGAAUACAUCUGGGAGAGGUUGUCAAUGUUCUGGGCUCUGGUUUCCACCAACAACUUGAACAAAAAUGCUGCAAGUAUGAAGUAAUGGAAGCAAGAAGAGGGCUAGAUCUUAGUGUAGAUGCUGAGCUUGAAUAUGAAAAGCAGUCUUUAGAAGUCUGCACUAAAAGUAAAAAUUAACCUCCUUAGACCCAGCUUUUGUUGCAGAGCCUGGAAGCUGAAGUUCAUUCCUGCAUAGAGGGCUGUGUGUGUUCAUGCAAUGGCUUUGCAGUGUGGGGUUUUGUAUGCUGCAGUUCACUGUGGUUUGGGACAGGACUCAUCUUUUGGUAUUCGUGCAUUGAUUGACAAAAUCUGGUAGUACAAAUGGUAAGGGAACAUGAAUGUUCUGCAGAG
Long non-coding RNA from Lagopus muta (rock ptarmigan), 2866 nucleotides. RefSeq lists it as uncharacterized. The transcript is spliced from 3 exons. The record is from RefSeq and is a predicted model, not a curated record. Lineage: Eukaryota; Metazoa; Chordata; Aves; Galliformes; Phasianidae.